UAUCUUAGAUAGUAUAGAACCUGCCUGCAAUACAGGAGACCCAGGUUCAAUCCCUGG
This 57-nucleotide transfer RNA is filed under the name Ovis aries (sheep). It matches the Rfam family "tRNA", at positions 8 to 63 of the family's 71-position model. Rfam says of the family: Transfer RNA (tRNA) molecules are approximately 80 nucleotides in length. Their secondary structure includes four short double-helical elements and three loops (D, anti-codon, and T loops). Lineage: Eukaryota; Metazoa; Chordata; Mammalia; Artiodactyla; Bovidae. The record is from Rfam by way of RNAcentral.